GAAUGAAUUCGAGGCACCAAAUCCCAACAAUCUUCACCUCGACUCGACAUUCAGCCUCCACCUAACUCUAAGAGCUUCUGGAUGAUCUCGUCAUUAUGCCCUAGGGCAAAUUCUUGGCUGCUCAUGGAUGAACAAAUAUGGGAGUCGAGCCAAGCCACUCAAUCUCAUCUCCAUCGUGUGCUAUGACCCACUUGACCUA
RNAcentral lists this long non-coding RNA (199 nucleotides) under Elaeis guineensis (African oil palm). Its description in RNAcentral is "long non-coding RNA (EGUI_LNC033815)". The record is from RNAcentral. Lineage: Eukaryota; Viridiplantae; Streptophyta; Magnoliopsida; Arecales; Arecaceae.